This 450-nucleotide ribosomal RNA is filed under the name uncultured bacterium. Its description in RNAcentral is "partial 16S ribosomal RNA". It matches the Rfam family "Bacterial small subunit ribosomal RNA", at positions 354 to 796 of the family's 1533-position model. The record is from RNAcentral.
GUGGGGAAUCUUCCGCAAUGGACGAAAGUCUGACGGAGCAACGCCGCGUGAGUGAUGAAGGUCUUCGGAUUGUAAAGCUCUGUUAAUCGGGACGAAAGAGCCUAGUGUGAAUAAUGCUAGGAAGUGACGGUACCGGAAUAGAAAGCCACGGCUAACUACGUGCCAGCAGCCGCGGUAAUACGUAGGUGGCAAGCGGUGUCCGGAAUUAUUGGGCGUAAAGUGCGCGCAGGCGGAUCUGCCAGUCUGUCUUAAAAGUUCGGGGCUUAACCCCGUGAUGGGAUGGAAACUACAGAUCUAGAGUAUCGGAGAGGAAAGUGGAAUUCCUAGUGUAGCGGUGAAAUGCGUAGAUAUUAGGAAGAACACCAGUGGCGAAGGCGACUUUCUGGACGAAAACUGACGCUGAGGCGCGAAAGCCAGGGGAGCGAACGGGAUUAGAUACCCCGGUAGUCC